GAUGAACGCUGGCGGCGUGCCUAAUACAUGCAAGUCGAGCGAACUGAUAAGGAGCUUGCUCCUUUGAAGUUAGCGGCGGACGGGUGAGUAACACGUGGGUAACCUACCUAUAAGACUGGGAUAACUUCGGGAAACCGGAGCUAAUACCGGAUAACAUUUAGAACCGCAUGGUUCUAAAGUGAAAGAUGGUUUUGCUAUCACUUAUAGAUGGACCCGCGCCGUAUUAGCUAGUUGGUAAGGUAACGGCUUACCAAGGCGACGAUACGUAGCCGACCUGAGAGGGUGAUCGGCCACACUGGAACUGAGACACGGUCCAGACUCCUACGGGAGGCAGCAGUAGGGAAUCUUCCGCAAUGGGCGAAAGCCUGACGGAGCAACGCCGCGUGAGUGAUGAAGGGUUUCGGCUCGUAAAACUCUGUUAUUAGGGAAGAACAAAUGUGUAAGUAACUGUGCACAUCUUGACGGUACCUAAUCAGAAAGCCACGGCUAACUACGUG
Molecule: ribosomal RNA, 497 nt
Filed under: uncultured bacterium
Lineage: Bacteria
Description: partial 16S ribosomal RNA
Rfam family: Bacterial small subunit ribosomal RNA
Source: RNAcentral